CUACGUGCCAGCAGCCGCGGUAAUACGUAGGGUGCAAGCGUUGUCCGGAAUUAUUGGGCGUAAAGAGCUCGUAGGCGGUUUGUCGCGUCUGGUGUGAAAGUCCAUCGCUUAACGGUGGAUUGGCGCUGGGUACGGGCAGGCUAGAGUGUAGUAGGGGAGACUGGAAUUCUCGGUGUAACGGUGGAAUGUGUAGAUAUCGGGAAGAACACCAAUGGCGAAGGCAGGUCUCUGGGCUAUUACUGACGCUGAGGAGCGAAAGCGUGGGGAGCGAACAGGAUUAGAUACCCUGGUAGUCCAUGCCGUAAACGUUGGGCACUAGGUGUGGGGGACAUUCCACGUUUUCCGCGCCGUAGCUAACGCAUUAAGUGCCCCGCCUGGGGAGUACGGCCGCAAGGCUAAAACUCAAAGAAAUUGACGGGGGCCCGCACAAGCGGCGGAGUAUGUGGUUUAAUUCGACGCAACGCGAAGAACCUUACCAGGUCU
Molecule: ribosomal RNA, 483 nt
Filed under: uncultured bacterium
Lineage: Bacteria
Description: bacterial SSU rRNA
Rfam family: Bacterial small subunit ribosomal RNA
Source: RNAcentral